Pimephales promelas (fathead minnow) is the source of this 1074-nucleotide non-coding RNA. The record is from RefSeq and is a predicted model, not a curated record. Lineage: Eukaryota; Metazoa; Chordata; Actinopteri; Cypriniformes; Leuciscidae.
AUAUAUAUAUAUAUAUACCUUUCUUUAUUUUGAGUGUAUUUGUUGAACUGUAUAAGAACACUGCAAAAAAACAAAAACUAACAAAAAUAAAACGAUGAAAAAAACUGUAAUUGCUCAAACAAUGGAAGAUGAAAUUGAUUUCAGAUCAUCUUUUUGAAAAAUGUUGGUGUUGUGCAAAAGUUAUAGAAUCGCAUAUUUAGAGCCUAGACAGGGAUUGUGUUUUCGACACUGUUAGCUGUAUAAUGUCAAUAGUGCAGUGUAAAACUUUACACUUUCAUUAAAUUACAGGGAUCUUUUCCCAGAGUCUUCCUGGAGUAUUGAUGAUACUUGAUGGUAUUGAUAAUACUUGAUGAUAGUAUAAUGAUAGUAAUAGUUACACACACACACACACACACACACACACACACACACACACACACACACACACACACACACAAUAAUUUAUAUGUGACUUUUUUGACAUGAAGGUGAUGGAUGAGCUACAAAUGAGAGAUCUUUGUCUCAAACUAGAGACCCUGAUGUGCCUGUUAUUUUGUUGUGCAUCUGGGCUGGUUAAAGUUAGCGUUUUAUCUUAAGACUGUGCAUUUCCAAACAUUCCUUUUGACAUUAAUUGUAAUAAUCCAGUGAGAUUUUCGUAUGCACAAGCAGGUUGGUGUCAUCCAGUGUUUUGGAGACGUUGCCGCAGUUCUUCUGGAUUUAGUCUAUUUUCUGAUUCUUCAUGUAAUCCCAGACAGACUCGAUGACUGUGAGAUCAGAUCAUAUAAGACUCUUUCUGCAUAGAAAAAUCUCACUGGAUUAUAAGGAUUAGUGGCAAAAAGGAAUGUUUUGGAAAUGUAAACUGAAAUUUCCUGGUCACACAUUAAAGUGAAGUAAAUAAAUAACUUGCUAACUCAUUUUUUUUUUUUUUGGUGAAAAUAAUAAUGUACCUUAGACUUUUGCACUACUGUAUAUGUGAAUGUAGAGUGAAUUCUCUAUCCAGUCAAAAUCCAUAUGAAGACAAGACACAUUGUUAGUUCUACUCUCAUGUUGCUUGUCAUGCUGUAUACUCUAAAAUAAAAUAAAGAAAUAUUUUGA